Molecule: ribosomal RNA, 255 nt
Filed under: uncultured bacterium
Lineage: Bacteria
Description: partial 16S ribosomal RNA
Rfam family: Bacterial small subunit ribosomal RNA
Source: RNAcentral
UACGUAGGGUGCAAGCGUUAAUCGGAAUUACUGGGCGUAAAGCGUGCGCAGGCGGUUUUGUAAGUCAGAUGUGAAAUCCCCGGGCUUAACCUGGGAACUGCGUUUGAAACUACAAGGCUAGAGUGUGACAGAGGGGGGGUGGAAUUCCACGUGUAGCAGUGAAAUGCGUAGAGAUGUGGAGGAACACCGAUGGCGAAGGCAGCCCCCCUGGGUUAACACUGACGCUCAGGCACGAAAGCGUGGGGAGCAAACAGG